RNAcentral lists this ribosomal RNA (253 nucleotides) under uncultured bacterium. RNAcentral describes it as "partial 16S ribosomal RNA". It matches the Rfam family "Bacterial small subunit ribosomal RNA", at positions 524 to 776 of the family's 1533-position model. The record is from RNAcentral.
UACGGGGGGGGCAAGCGUUGUUCGGAAUUACUGGGCGUAAAGGGUUCGUAGGUGGCCAACUCAGUCAGACGUGAAAUCCCUCAGCUUAACUGGGGAACUGCGUCUGAUACUGGAUGGCUUGAGAUUGGGAGAGGGAUGCGGAAUUCCAGGUGUAGCGGUGAAAUGCAUAGAUAUGACAUAGAACACCAAUUGCGAAGGCAGCUGGCUACACAAAUAUUGACGCUGAUGCACGAAAGCGUGGGGAUCAAACAGG